Molecule: transfer RNA, 75 nt
Filed under: bacterium
Lineage: Bacteria
Description: tRNA-His
Rfam family: tRNA
About the family: Transfer RNA (tRNA) molecules are approximately 80 nucleotides in length. Their secondary structure includes four short double-helical elements and three loops (D, anti-codon, and T loops). Further hydrogen bonds mediate the characteristic L-shaped molecular structure. tRNAs have two regions of fundamental functional importance: the anti-codon, which is responsible for specific mRNA codon recognition, and the 3' end, to which the tRNAs corresponding amino acid is attached (by aminoacyl-tRNA synthetases). tRNAs cope with the degeneracy of the genetic code in two manners: having more than one tRNA (with a specific anti-codon) for a particular amino acid; and 'wobble' base-pairing, i.e. permitting non-standard base-pairing at the 3rd anti-codon position.
Source: RNAcentral
GUGGGUGUAGUUCAAUGGUAGAGCACCGGAUUGUGGAUCCGGGUGUUGUGGGUUCGAGCCCCAUCUCCCACCCCA